CAACUUGAGAGUUUGAUCCUGGCUCAGAACGAACGCUGGCGGCAGGCUUAACACAUGCAAGUCGAACG
RNAcentral lists this ribosomal RNA (68 nucleotides) under Agrobacterium deltae. RNAcentral's name for it is "Agrobacterium deltaense partial 16S ribosomal RNA". It matches the Rfam family "Bacterial small subunit ribosomal RNA", at positions 1 to 68 of the family's 1533-position model. Lineage: Bacteria; Pseudomonadati; Pseudomonadota; Alphaproteobacteria; Hyphomicrobiales; Rhizobiaceae. The record is from RNAcentral. RNAcentral also lists the same sequence under 2 other names.